UCUCGAAGUAGGCAUCAUUGUGAACGGC
RNAcentral lists this small RNA (28 nucleotides) under Bombyx mori (domestic silkworm). RNAcentral's name for it is "ovarian small RNA-29705". The record is from RNAcentral. Lineage: Eukaryota; Metazoa; Arthropoda; Insecta; Lepidoptera; Bombycidae.